This 416-nucleotide ribosomal RNA is filed under the name uncultured bacterium. RNAcentral's name for it is "bacterial SSU rRNA". It matches the Rfam family "Bacterial small subunit ribosomal RNA", at positions 28 to 408 of the family's 1533-position model. The record is from RNAcentral.
GAUGAACGCUGGCGGCGUGCCUAAUACAUGCAAGUCGAGCGGUAAGGCUCCUGCAGAUUGUUCGAUAUACACAGAUAGGGAAGGCUCCUGAUUCUGAUCGAAUAAUGUGCUGGAGUACACGAGCGGCGGACGGCUGAGUAACACGUAGGAACGUACCCCAAACUGAGGGAUAAGCACCAGAAAUGGUGUCUAAUACCGCAUGUGCUCUCGGAGUAAAGCUACGGCGGUUUGGGAACGGCCUGCGUAAGAUUAGCUAGUUGGUGAGGUAAUAGCUCACCAAGGCGACGAUCUUUAGCUGGUCUGAGAGGAUGAUCAGCCAGACUGGGACUGAGAACGGCCCAGACUCCUACGGGAGGCAGCAGUAGGGAAUUUUCCACAAUGGACGCAAGUCUGAUGGAGCAACGCCGCGUGCAGGA